UAGGGCUGGUUCCUGUUUGUGGCCAUUGAAUAGAAGAGGCUGAGAGUACCUAGGACCUGCGUGGACCUCUUCCUACAGAGACUGGAGCCUCUAAAUCAUGCUGUUCAGCAGCAGUAUAGUUUAUGUAUGUGAAUUACACAAGGACUGCCUUACUUAAGAAGCCUCUCAUACCCCACAGUGAAGCUCCUGCUUGAAGAAAUGAAAGGAUCCUACAGCUGCUUCCUAGCUGGAGUGUGGCUCCUAGAUUAUGAGGAUUUUAUAAAUUGAAAGAAGGUGGUACAUGAUUUAACCUGUCUUUGGGAAAUGAAAUCACUUUAGAGGUAAGUGAAGAAAUAAUUAUUAAUUCUGGAUCUUUUAGUUUUGUUUUAGCACCCUCUGGACU
Molecule: non-coding RNA, 382 nt
Organism: Meleagris gallopavo (turkey)
Lineage: Eukaryota; Metazoa; Chordata; Aves; Galliformes; Phasianidae
Source: RefSeq, a predicted model, not a curated record